This 253-nucleotide unclassified non-coding RNA is filed under the name uncultured Caryophanales bacterium. RNAcentral's name for it is "uncultured Bacillales bacterium contains 16S-23S intergenic spacer region". It matches the Rfam family "Bacterial small subunit ribosomal RNA", at positions 524 to 776 of the family's 1533-position model. The record is from RNAcentral. Lineage: Bacteria; Bacillati; Bacillota; Bacilli; Caryophanales.
UACGUAGGUGGUAAGCGUUGUGCGGCAUUUUUCGGCGUAAAGCGCGCGCAGGCGGCCACUUAAGUCUGAUGUGAAAGCCCCCGGCUCCACCGGGGAGGGCCAUGGGAAACUGGGAGGCUUGAGUAUAGGAGAGAAGAGUGGAAUUCCACGUGUAGCGGUGAAAUGCGUAGAGAUGUGGAGGAACACCAGUGGCGAAGGCGACUCUUUGGCCUAUAACUGACGCUGAGGCGCGAAGGCGUGGGGAGCAAACAGG